GGGCUGAGCUGUUAGCGUGCAGGGGUUCUAGCUCUCAAUGUAAGUACAGUGUUCCAUACACAGGUAAGUAUUCACAGGGCUGAGCUGUUAGCGUGCAGGGGUUCUAGCUCUCAAUGUAAGUACAGUGUUCCAUACACAGGUAAGUAUUCACAGGGCUGGGCUGUUAGCGUGCAGGGGUUCUAGCUCUCAGGUAAGUACAGUGUUCGAUACACAGGUAAGUAUUCACAGGGCUGAGCUGUUAGCGUGCAGGGGUUCUAGCUCUCAAUGUAAGUACAGUGUUCCAUACACAGGUAAGUAUUCACAGGGCUGAGCUGUUAGCGUGCAGGGGUUCUAGCUCUCAAUGUAAGUACAGUGUUCCAUAAACA
Long non-coding RNA from Carassius gibelio (silver crucian carp), 365 nucleotides. RefSeq lists it as uncharacterized. NCBI's taxonomy places the organism in Eukaryota, Metazoa, Chordata, Actinopteri, Cypriniformes, Cyprinidae. The record is from RefSeq and is a predicted model, not a curated record. The transcript has 3 exons.